RNAcentral lists this ribosomal RNA (274 nucleotides) under uncultured bacterium. Its description in RNAcentral is "partial 16S ribosomal RNA". It matches the Rfam family "Bacterial small subunit ribosomal RNA", at positions 523 to 796 of the family's 1533-position model. The record is from RNAcentral.
AUACGGAGGGUGCAAGCGUUAUUCGGAAUCACUGGGCGUAAAGGACGCGUAGGCGGGUUGGCAAGUCAGAUGUGAAAUCCUACAGCUUAACUGUAGAACUGCAUUUGAAACUGCUAACCUAGAGUAUGGGAGGGGGAGAUGGAAUUAGUGGUGUAGGGGUAAAAUCCGUAGAUAUCACUAGGAAUACCGAAAGCGAAGGCGAUCUCCUAGAACAUAACUGACGCUAAGGCGUGAAAGCGUGGGGAGCAAACAGGAUUAGAAACCCUAGUAGUCC